GAUGAACGCUGGCGGCAUGCCUAAUACAUGCAAGUCGAACGAGAGGAAGGAAAGCUUGCUUUUCUGAAUCUAGUGGCGAACGGGUGAGUAACACGUAGGUAACCUGCCCAUGUGCCCGGGAUAACUUCUGGAAACGGAUGCUAAAACCGGAUAGGUAGCAGACAAGCAUUUGACUGCUAUUAAAGUGGCUAAGGCCAUGAACAUGGAUGGACCUGCGGUGCAUUAGCUAGUUGGUGAGGUAACGGCCCACCAAGGCGACGAUGCAUAGCCGGCCUGAGAGGGCGGACGGCCACAUUGGGACUGAGACACGGCCCAAACUCCUGCGGGAGGCAGCAGUAGGGAAUUUUCGUCAAUGGGGGGAACCCUGAACGAGCAAUGCCGCGUGAGUGAGGAAGGUCUUCGGAUCGUAAAGCUCUGUUGUAAGAGAAAAACGACAUUCAUAGGGAAUGAUGAGUGAGUGAUGGUAUCUUACCAGAAAGUCACGGCUAAAUACGUGCCAGCAGCCGCAGUAA
Molecule: ribosomal RNA, 512 nt
Filed under: uncultured bacterium
Lineage: Bacteria
Description: partial 16S ribosomal RNA
Rfam family: Bacterial small subunit ribosomal RNA
Source: RNAcentral